UACGAAGGGGGCUAGCGUUGCUCGGAAUUACUGGGCGUAAAGGGCGCGUAGUCGGAUAGUUUAGUCAGAGGUGAAAGCCCAGGGCUCAACCUUGGAAUUGCCUUUGAUACUGGCUAUCUUGAGUUCGGGAGAGGUGAGUGGAAUGCCGAGUGUAGAGGUGAAAUUCGUAGAUAUUCGGCGGAACACCAGUGGCGAAGGCGACUCACUGGCCCGAUACUGACGCUGAGGCGCGAAAGCGUGGGGAGCAAACAGG
Molecule: ribosomal RNA, 253 nt
Filed under: uncultured bacterium
Lineage: Bacteria
Description: partial 16S ribosomal RNA
Rfam family: Bacterial small subunit ribosomal RNA
Source: RNAcentral